Molecule: ribosomal RNA, 465 nt
Filed under: uncultured bacterium
Lineage: Bacteria
Description: partial 16S ribosomal RNA
Rfam family: Bacterial small subunit ribosomal RNA
Source: RNAcentral
CUACGGGUUGCUCCAGUGGGGAAUAUUGGACAAUGGGGGAAACCCUGAUCCAGCAAUGCCGCGUGUGUGAAGAAGGCCUGCGGGUUGUGAAGCACUUUCGGUUGGGAGGACUGCUUCUAGCACUAAUAUUGUUGGAAGUUGACGUUACCUUCAGAAGAAGCACCGGCUAACUCCGUGCCAGCAGCCGCGGUAAUACGGAGGGUGCAAGCGUUAAUCGGAAUUACUGGGCGUAAAGCGCGCGUAGGCGGCUAGAUCAGUCGGGUGUGAAAGCCCCGGGCUUAACCUGGGAACUGCAUCCGAUACUGUCUAGCUUGAGUACAGGAGAGGAGAGUGGAAUUCCACAUGUAGCGGUGAAAUGCGUAGAUAUGUGGAGGAACACCAAUGGCGAAGGCAGCUCUCUGGCCUGAUACUGACGCUGAGGCGCGAAAGCGUGGGGAGCAAACAGGAUUAGAUACCCCCGUAGUC